This 160-nucleotide ribosomal RNA is filed under the name uncultured bacterium. RNAcentral describes it as "partial 16S ribosomal RNA". It matches the Rfam family "Bacterial small subunit ribosomal RNA", at positions 333 to 508 of the family's 1533-position model. The record is from RNAcentral.
GAACUCCGUACGGGAGGCAGCAAGUGGGGAAUAUUGCACAAUGGGCGAAAGCCUGAUGCAGCGACGCCGCGUGAGCGAAGAAGUAUUUCGGUAUGUAAAGCUCUAUCAGCAGGGAAGAUAAUGACGGUACCUGACUAAGAAGCACCGGCUAAAUACGUGC